CCGAAUCGUGUGGAACUGUAAGUCAGUUAAAUCUCUCUUCUUUGUAAAUUACUCAAUCUCAGGUAGUAUCUUUAUAGCAGUAUGGGAACGGACUAAUACAGCAUGUGUUCCUUAAAGGCCAUCUAUUGUACUAUUCUCAUUUAAUGUAAGAAGGAGUUAAGGCUACAAGAGUCAGACUUGUUUUUCCAAUAUCACAAAGAGCAGACCCCAUAUCAACAUCCCUGUACUUAUGUACUAUUUUCUGCCCCAUCAUUGGUUAUUUCUGAGGAGCUCCUGAAAAGCCUUGAUGUGAGCAACAAGUCUGAGAGAUAAUCAGGGGCUUCAGUGACUGCAAGGUUGCCCCAAUCUCCAUUCUCCUCUGCAGUGACAUAACAAUUCUGAGUGUUUAAAAGCAGCACAAGGACACAUGUCCCAGUUUUCCUUGAUGCUGGAUGACAUCGUAUGACCAGGUUCUGAUCAGUGGAAGGCUAGAAUGCUGAUGUGGAUGGGAACCAGUAAGACCACAAAGAAUGAGGACUCCGCUCUAUGGACUGGGAAGCAGCAGUUUUUGGAGUCUUAAUGUAUGAUGCCUUGAAGCCUCCAACUUAUGUCUAAGAUACACUCAUUUCUGGGCAUUACAGAAUAACUUUGAAAGCAAGCAAAGCAAUGAAACUUGGGUUAAUAGCAGUUUAGCUCUGGGAAGCAACGCCUGCAUGUCUCUUUGCUCCAUAAUGAAUAUCAGAGGCAGCAUUGUCUCCAUGACAGAAGAUUUGAAUGGUUGAAAUAGAGGAGAAGCCAUGGAGAAACAGAUCAGUAGGGAGAAAAGUCUGUUUGACCCCAUUUGGAACUCCUACAAUCAGGUUUGCCAGCACUCAGUUUCCAGAAGGAAGCUUCAUGUCUCCUGACUUUUCCUCAAGCAAGCUAAUGACUCCCUGCAUGUAGCAUCCUGAUAUGGUUUGGCUUGUCCCCAAUUCAAGAUGUGUCCCUCAUCUUGAAUUGUAGCUCCCAUAGCCCCCACAUGUCAGGGGAGGGACCCAGUGGGAGGUAUUGAAUCAUGGAUUGGGUCUUCCCUGUGCUGUUCUCAUGAUAGUGAAUAACUCUCACAAGAUCUGAUGGUUUUAUAAAGGGCCAUUCUCCUGCACAUGCUCUCUUGCCUGUUGCCAUGUAAGAUAUGCCUUUGCUCCUCCUUCAUGAUUGUGAGGCCUGUUAAACUAUGAGUUCAUUAAACUUUUUCUUUAUGUAUUAUCCAGUUUCAGGUAUGACUUUGUUAGUAGUAUGAGACCAGACUAAUACACACCCCAAGAUGAAAACACAGGAAUGUGAAUUUAUAGCAAAAACCCAUAACUGACUUUGGAAAGAAGACAAUUCUUGAUAUAUACCCUUACCUUUGCUCAUUCUUCUAUCCAGAAGUAGGCCGCCAUCCUGUGCUAAAGUAGAAGAGCCUUUCUGGGAUUUAAUGACUCCAGAGGACCCUUCUGUGUCCUGUAAUUCCAGAGAUGCCUUCAGGAGCUGGAGGGAAAGUUGGUGACCAAGCCAGGCUUAUCAAGAUACUGAACAGCCCUGUGUUUUCCUUUACAGGGAAUGGGUGCAAAUUGGAGACCACAGACAGCUAAGGCAUAAUCCCUAGUUGAGGUGUUUCUUGGCCUCUGUCAUAUUUUUACUCACAUAUCAGCCUCUCCCAUCCCAUUUCAUCUGAUCCACCUCUUUGUUAGUAAUUGUUGUUCUAGAGCACUUAAUUGCCAACUGUGAGCUUAGGUAUCAGUGUCAAGCAAUGUAAGCUUGUGAUGUGAGUCUUUAACCAAAAUAAUAAUGUAUACCAUAGAGUUAUCUAAGUCUCAUAAUGG
Molecule: long non-coding RNA, 1823 nt
Organism: Piliocolobus tephrosceles (Ugandan red Colobus)
Lineage: Eukaryota; Metazoa; Chordata; Mammalia; Primates; Cercopithecidae
Exons: 3
Source: RefSeq, a predicted model, not a curated record